AUCACCUGAAGAUCUUGUUAAAAUGCAGAUUUGGUUCAGUAGAUCUAGGCCUGAGAUUCUGCAUUUCUAGCAAGCUCCAGGUAAUGC
This 87-nucleotide microRNA precursor is filed under the name Vicugna pacos (alpaca). RNAcentral describes it as "miRNA (ENSVPAG00000017438.1)". Lineage: Eukaryota; Metazoa; Chordata; Mammalia; Artiodactyla; Camelidae. The record is from RNAcentral.